AAGUCGUAACAAUGUUUCCGUAGGUGAACCUGCGGAAAGAUCAUUAACACGUAUCCAAACGUUAAAACCUCCCCCGUGAACCUUCAUCCUGCUCUUGUAACCCGCGUAGUUCGCACUCUCUGAUAAAUCAUC
Molecule: unclassified non-coding RNA, 132 nt
Filed under: fungal sp.
Lineage: Eukaryota; Fungi
Description: partial internal transcribed spacer region
Rfam family: Eukaryotic small subunit ribosomal RNA (bases 1-46)
Source: RNAcentral